RNAcentral lists this unclassified non-coding RNA (237 nucleotides) under Hevea brasiliensis (rubber tree). Lineage: Eukaryota; Viridiplantae; Streptophyta; Magnoliopsida; Malpighiales; Euphorbiaceae. The record is from RNAcentral.
CCCCUGGCAAUCGCUCUGGCGGCAUCAAACCAACAAAACCCUAACGCUAAUCUAAUCUAUUUAUCCGCCUACCUACCUAUUUAUCUGGCAUGAGCCAACAACACAAAAAAAAAUCCAAAAAUCCUGCGCCGCACCAAAUCCAAAACCCCAGCAGAUCAAACAACCCUCGCACGGCCGCCCACAGAAGAAACCGCACGGAACCCACAGUACCAAAUCCAAGGCUUUCCAAGAGCUAAA